AAACAAAGGAGAUGAGGCCAGUUU
This 24-nucleotide non-coding RNA is filed under the name Rattus norvegicus (Norway rat). Lineage: Eukaryota; Metazoa; Chordata; Mammalia; Rodentia; Muridae. The record is from RNAcentral.